RNAcentral lists this ribosomal RNA (439 nucleotides) under uncultured bacterium. RNAcentral describes it as "bacterial SSU rRNA". It matches the Rfam family "Bacterial small subunit ribosomal RNA", at positions 335 to 773 of the family's 1533-position model. The record is from RNAcentral.
ACUCCUACGGGAGGCAGCAGUGGGGAAUAUUGCACAAUGGGCGCAAGCCUGAUGCAGCAACGCCGCGUGAGGGACGACGGCCUUCGGGUUGUAAACCUCUUUUAGUAGGGAAGAAGCGAUGUGCUUGUCACAUCAUGACGGUACCUGCAGAAAAAGCACCGGCUAACUACGUGCCAGCAGCCGCGGUAAUACGUAGGGUGCAAGCGUUAUCCGGAAUUAUUGGGCGUAAAGAGCUCGUAGGCGGUUUGUCGCGUCUGCUGUGAAAACUGGAGGCUCAACCUCCAGCCUGCAGUGGGUACGGGCAGACUAGAGUGCGGUAGGGGAGAUUGGAAUUCCUGGUGUAGCGGUGGAAUGCGCAGAUAUCAGGAGGAACACCAAUGGCGAAGGCAGAUCUCUGGGCCGUAACUGACGCUGAGGAGCGAAAGCAUGGGGAGCGAAC